RNAcentral lists this long non-coding RNA (1184 nucleotides) under Monodelphis domestica (gray short-tailed opossum). RNAcentral describes it as "lncRNA (ENSMODG00000046516.1)". The record is from RNAcentral. Lineage: Eukaryota; Metazoa; Chordata; Mammalia; Didelphimorphia; Didelphidae.
CUCCAUGAAAAGUUAGUAAAACAUUUUAGAAUUUCCAAAGUAAAAGCUCCUUCAUAAUUGAAUAUUGAACAACACUUUAUUGUCAGUUUUUAAUCUUCAAACUCUAAAUAAUAUGUAUUCAUAACAGAACUGAUAGUGGUCAAUGAUCACAGUAGCAAUAGCAGCAGUAGCAAUGUAGUCAAAAACAGAAUAAGAAUAAUUCAUCUUAGUCCUAACUAGGGACAGAUUGAUUAUUAUUUCAUAUUUAUUCUUAUGAAAUGCUAUUUAUUCUACUUUUGCUUCUCUUUAGACAAAAUGCAUAUACCACAUUGAACCUUUCUCCUAUUUAGUGUUAAUGAUAACAUACAACGUAAAGGGAAACAUGCAGUUUGAUUCUUGGUUCAGAAGCAGUUAAUUAGAGCAGAAUUUACAAGGUGAGAAGAAAUCUUCAGAAAUCACUGAUGUGAUUUCCCAAAAUUUGAAAAAAAUGUCACCAUUCAAUUAAUUACUAAAGGAGUAAUGAGCCCCUUCUUGCAUUAUAAAUCUCUCAAAUAAAAUUGGGCUUUCCAUAGUUUUGUAAAGAAACUUGUAACACUACUUAACAGCUUCUUAGCAUCAGUGUGUGAACAAAUAUAUACUAAUUGAAGAAUAACAGCUUUAAAUUGCAUACUCAGUAUUUUGUUUAAAACAAAAACUAAACAAAGAAAUAUAGUCCUCUUUUUAUAUAGAAGCUUUAAUAUGUCUAUGCUGAUGAAAUUACAAAAGCUUUUCUUGCUUUUCUUAUAGUACCAUAUAAAUGUAAUGUAUUUCUUACAUUUACACGGAUCCUUUAUUUUCAGAAACUCAGAUAGAGAACAAAUCCUGAAAUUCAAUGCAUUGUCUGAAAUGGAAGAACCAAUAAAGAGAACUAUGAUGCCAAAUCUGAUUCUCAUCAACAAGGAGGAACCAUCUACUGAAAUAAAAAUUAUGAGAAUUUUGAACUGAUCAUCUCUGAAUUUGGGACAGAGAAAUUAUAGUUUAAAAUUCAUUCUAGAUGCUGGAGAGUCAAUUUUAAAGAAAUGGGUAAGAUUCUAUUAACUAAAUUCUACAGGGGAUAUCAACCAAGGAAGGAUAAAAAAAAACCCUAGAAGCAACAAUAUGAAGAUACAAACAGAAAUUGUUCUGAGGAAGAGGAAAAGGAAAAUAAAGAGAUUAUUACAGAUUCA